RNAcentral lists this transfer RNA (75 nucleotides) under Sphaerobolus stellatus SS14. RNAcentral describes it as "tRNA-Pro (AGG) (tRNA-Pro-AGG-16-1)". It matches the Rfam family "tRNA". From Rfam's summary of the family: Transfer RNA (tRNA) molecules are approximately 80 nucleotides in length. Their secondary structure includes four short double-helical elements and three loops (D, anti-codon, and T loops). The record is from RNAcentral. Lineage: Eukaryota; Fungi; Basidiomycota; Agaricomycetes; Geastrales; Sphaerobolaceae.
GGCGAGAUUGCCGAGUUGAUCUAAGGCGUGAGGGUAGGGUCUUCGGGGGCGUGGGUUCAAAUCCCUCUCUCGUCA